AUUAAGUAAGAUUUAAAAAUGCUAUAUAAAUAACGUACAUGUUAACUUAUAUAAUGUUAAAAACUAAAUCCUUAUUGAAAACUGUUACAAUAAUUAUAUAUAUAUAUAUAUAUAUAUAUAUAUAUAUAUUGUUCUAUGUGUGUGUGUGUGUGUCUGUGAGAAAGACAGAGAGAGAGAGAGAGAGAGAGAGAGAGAGAGAGAGAGAGAGAGAGUUAACAUCUCUUUAAUCACCAGAAGAAAAAAAAAGAAAAAAAAAAUCAGUAAUUGUGUGUUGUUGUUUUUUUAUUUUUUCAUCAUUACAGCUUAAGAAAUCUCUUAGGCCUUAUCCUUUUCUGUCAGUUUUGGGGCCAACCUAGUACAAUUUGUAGGGCUCAGACAACAUUAUUUUACAUAAUUAGGUUAAGAAUUAUGUUAAUUGCAACAUAAAAAGAUUUUUUAAAAAUACAUACACAUGGAUAUAUAUUUAUAUUAUUCUGUAAAUAAUUUGAAACUUAUUUGGUACUGACCUAUGACAGACAUUCUGUGACAUGACAUUUACACAAUCUCAUGGAUGUAACAGUAAAACAGUUCAGCUCACAGAUGAAGACUAAGCUGUAAUGCAGGCAAAAAUAUUUUACAAGUGCUUAUAGAUCAAUAAAAUCGUUAAAAAUGUUUUUUCGCCGAGUGCAUAAUAAUAAUAAUUAGUCACAUUGAUAUUCUGGUGAUAUUUUUUUCCAAGCACAUUUUACCAAUUCCAAAUCACAUCAAUCUUAAUAAAUACUAUACAUUUGUUAUUUAAUCAUUUAUGAGUGAUAUAUAAUUGUCCUUGAAGGCUGGAAGUAAAAAACUCCUUAUAUUCAGGAGUGUUGAAUUAUUAGGCGUUUUUUUGCCAUGCAUUGGUCAUAGAGCUCAUUGUAGCGGUGUCUCAGGUGUUGAAAUAGAUUUGUUAUACAUUAUACAGGUUCACACGUACUCUGUCUGCAGUGCGUAUACAGUAUGUGUAUGCGGUGCAGAAGCAGCAGCGAGAGCGAGUUAUUGUAACGCGAAAGAACAUUAAAAUAAUGCGCGAGUGCGAAUCUAUCCGCUCACAAAACCAGACACGCGUGCUCAGAUACAUGCUCUAGCCCGGAGAGAAUGCGCGCACUUUAAACGUGCUUCCUCUCGCUGUGUCAUGUGAAUUCACAACUCUCUCUGUGCUCAUGCGCUAGAUAUUCAUUCUUUUCGCACCUUUUUAUUUCUAACCUUUUCUGUUCACAUCUUUUACCGUGUGCAGUGUGAACGCUCUGAUCCAUUAACAUGGGCUCGGAAAAAAAUACGCAUCACAGACAGAGCUUGUAAACCUGGCCUUACGUAGGCAUAUGCCCUGUCUGUCCUGUUCUCGCGCUCCAUUUAGGCGCCCUUCAUUCUGACUGGUUCAGAUAGCAACACCAAACGUGCAGUGUGUAAUACCAAUCAUGGCCACCACCAGGUGGAGCUAUAGGAUUACUUUUAAAUAAUUGUUGUUGAAACGUGUAUAGAGCAUUUAAAUCAUUUAUAAAAAUCUUUCAAAAAAAUAUGUAUUCUUAAAAGCUAAUGAAUUUUACUGGUAAUAUAGUUUUAUAUAAUCAUUUCACAAAUGUUUAUAGAUCAUUAAAAGGAUUUUUAACACUGGUUAUAGAUCAUGAAAAGUGUUGUCAACAAUUUAUAAUAAGCUCUUUUUGGUUUACAUUAGUUAAUGCAAUAACUAACAUGAACUAACAAUGCACAAUCUAUUUUUCAGAUUUUUAUUAAUCUUUUUUAUGUUAGUUAAUCCUAUCAUUAAAAAUAUUAAUAUUCAUGUUAUUUCACAGUACAUAAACUAAUCUUAAAAUAAAACUGUAAAUAAAAAAAAUAGUAGUAAAUAAUGUAUUAAAAUAUUUUUAACUAAGCUUUAAUUAACAUUAAUAUAUAUAAUUUUAUGUUAAAUAAUAUAGUAUUUAACAUUAGUACAAGCUAAGUAUGAACAAAAUAUUUUUACUGCAUUUGUUUGUGUUAGUAAUUUUUAGUUAGUAAAUUAAUAUGUUAAAUCAUGGUAUAGUAACUGAUGUACAUUAACUAUAAAUUUUAAUUAAUAAUGUAGUAAUCCAUUUUGAACAUAAUAUUAACUAAGAUCCAUAAAUGCUAUAUAAAUGAUGUACUUGUUAACUUAUAUAAUGUUAAAAACUAAAUCCUUAUUGAAAAGUGUUACAAUAAUAAGAAUAAUAAUAAUAAUUUAUUUGUGUGUGGGUGUGUGUGUAAGUGAGUGUGUGAGAAAGACAGAUAGAGAGACUCACAUUAAUAAAUGCCAUACAGUUGUUGUUAAUGUAAUUUAAUAUAAUUCAUGUUAAUAACUGAAACCUUAUUGGAAGUGUUACUCAAGUUUUAUAUAUUGUGUUGUGUGUGUGCUUGAUUGUUUGGAUUAACCCUUUCAUUGCUGUAUCCCUUAAAUCCAAACUGCUAAAUUAAGUGUGUCCAAUCCUGUUCCUGGUGAUCGACUGUCCUGAAAAGUUCAGGUCCAACUCUAAUCAGUCACACCUACCUUUAAUUUUCAAGCAAUCCUGAAGACGUUAAUUAGUUGCUUCAGGUGUGUUUGAGUAGGGUUGGAGCUAAACUUUGCAGGACAGUCGAUCGCCAUCAACAGGGUUGGACACCCCUGAGCUAGAGGGUUAUUGUGUAUGUCUCCACUGGGCACACUUUGACUGAUGGCACCGGGGUGGCGUUUGCGCUGACGGCUUGGGCCCGCCAUCGCUGCUUGCAGCUAUAUUUAUUAUUCUUCUCCAAAAUGAAUCGCAUUUUUGAGGGC
Long non-coding RNA from Cyprinus carpio carpio, 2779 nucleotides. The record is from Ensembl. NCBI's taxonomy places the organism in Eukaryota, Metazoa, Chordata, Actinopteri, Cypriniformes, Cyprinidae.